Molecule: long non-coding RNA, 315 nt
Organism: Struthio camelus australis
Lineage: Eukaryota; Metazoa; Chordata; Aves; Struthioniformes; Struthionidae
Source: RefSeq, a predicted model, not a curated record
UCAUCAUUGUUUUUCUGCCUGACACAGUCUAAUCAUUCUGGCUUGCAGACCUCUCACUUACGUAAUAACAAGUGCCUGUAGCAGAAAAGGCAUCACUAGGAUAUAUAGUCUACUUGAGCACUAGUUAAGGCAUAGUAAAAUUGAUGACCAGAGUGCCAUUUAAAAUUCUUUACUCUUCAGUACUCUUACACUCAAUGAACCAGGGUAGUUCCCAGAUCUUCAGUGUUCUUCUGGCACACAAUAAGCUAUUUUAAGUACAUGAAUGCUGCUUGUCUUUUGGAUGUAUUAACUGUGUUGCGUGAUGGUGGACUGUCU